Molecule: ribosomal RNA, 468 nt
Filed under: uncultured bacterium
Lineage: Bacteria
Description: partial 16S ribosomal RNA
Rfam family: Bacterial small subunit ribosomal RNA
Source: RNAcentral
GACGAACGCUGGCGGCGUGCUUAACACAUGCGAGUCGAACGGAAAGGCCCUGCUUUUGUGGGGUGCUCGAGUGGCGAACGGGUGAGUAACACGUGAGUAACCUGCCCUUGACUUUGGGAUAACUUCAGGAAACUGGGGCUAAUACCGGAUAGGAGCUCCUGCUGCAUGGUGGGGGUUGGAAAGUUUCGGCGGUUGGGGAUGGACUCGCGGCUUAUCAGCUUGUUGGUGGGGUAGUGACUUACCAAGGCUUUGACGGGUAGCCGGCCUGAGAGGGUGACCGGCCAAAUUGGGACUGAAAUACGACACGGACUCCUCAGGGAGGCAGCAGUGGGGUAUGUUGCACUAUAGGCGGAAGCCUGGUGCAGCAACGCCCCGUGCGGGAAGACGGCCUUCGGGUUGGAAACCACUUUCGCCUGUGACGAGGCGUGAGUGACGGUAAUGGGUGAAGAAGCACCGGCUAACUACGUG